AAUAGAUACCCUGGUAGUCCAUGCCGUAAACGAUGUCUACUAGCCGUUGGGGCCUUUGAGGCUUUAGUGGCGCAGCUAACGCGAUAAGUAGACCGCCUGGGGAGUACGGUCGCAAGACUAAAACUCAAAUGAAUUGACGGGGGCCCGCACAAGCGGUGGAGCAUGUGGUUUAAUUCGAUGCAACGCGAAGAACCUUACCUGGUCUUGACAUAGUAAGAACUUUCCAGAGAUGGAUUGGUGCCUUCGGGAACUUACAUACAGGUGCUGCAUGGCUGUCGUCAGCUCGUGUCGUGAGAUGUUGGGUUAAGUCCCGCAACGAGCGCAACCCUUUUCCUUAUUUGCCAGCGGGUUAAGCCGGGAACUUUAAGAAUACUGCCAGUGACAAACUGGAGGAAGGCGGGGUACGACGUCAAGUCAUCAUGGCCCUUACGACCAGGGCUACACACGUGCUACAAUGGUCGGUACAAAGGGUUGCUACCUAGCGAUAGGAUGCUAAUCUCAAAAAGCCGAUCGUAGUCCGGAUUGGAGUCUGCAACUCGACUCC
RNAcentral lists this ribosomal RNA (544 nucleotides) under uncultured bacterium. Its description in RNAcentral is "bacterial SSU rRNA". It matches the Rfam family "Bacterial small subunit ribosomal RNA", at positions 777 to 1319 of the family's 1533-position model. The record is from RNAcentral.